AAUUCCGUAUAUAUAUAUAUAUAUAUAUAUUGUUUCAUCAAAACGUAACGAUGCCAUUUAAGAAGUGCCAUGCAUGCAUGAGCAACGAACUUGUUGGAAAACUGAAAGAAGAAAAAGUGAAAAAUCUCAGCAAGCGAGCGUCGUCAUCGGGCGGUCAGUCAGUCGACGUAGACGGCGCAUGUAGCCCUGAUCUCGCCGUCGUCGGUGGCGGUGCGCACGCCGAUCCUGCCCAUGUUGAUCAUGGAGACGGCGAAGUCGGCGAAGAAGGUGUCGGCGUAGUAGGAGGCGUUGGUGGCCAUGAGCCUGACGUAGGCGCCGGUGAGGCUGUCCUCCAGCAGCGCAGCGUCGGAGGCCAGCAGCGCCUGGUGGUUGUACACGGAUUUGAAGUACCCCAUGUCGAAGGUGGUCGGCGACACCGGGUCCAGCGGCUGCACGCUGGCCACGUCGGACGGCGACGAGCACACCUCCGUCAGGUUCUUGGCGUACGCCGCGUCCAGCGACGGGUCCUGGUCGCCGGCGCCGGUGUAGUUGUACAGGCGUCCGGAGAAGGACGGGCAGUGCGCGACGCCGAGGGUGUGCGCCGCCGACAGCACCACCAUGUCCUUCAUCGUCAAAUUCUGGGCGGCGAAAUAGCGCGUCAGCACGGUGGCGUUGCCGUCGGCGGGGGGCAGGAGCCGCUGCGCGUCCUCCUUGCGGGACACGUUGCCGUCGCGCCGCCCGGUCUCCACCUGGUACGCGGGGCCCUUGGUGUAGUUCACGGCGUCGCGCGCGGCCAUGGCCAUGAUGUCGGCGCAGGACACCACCAGCGGGCACGCCGCCUCCACCUUGGCCUUCACGUCCUCGAUGGCCUCGUACCCGCGCACCGUCGAGUUGGGGUCCGCGUCCCGCUGCGCCGUCCCGUUGUGGGACUUGAGCAUGAUGGUGGCGUCGCACCCGGCGCCGAAACAGUCGUGGAAGUGGAGCCGGAGCAGGCCCGCGGGGAGCGUCACGUCGUCGGCGAACUUGGCAAGCAGGGCGUCGCGCACCAGGUCCUCCACGCCCGGGCACGUCUCGUUGUAGUACCCGUACUGCAGCUGCGCCUGCGCGCCCAGGGUCGUCAGCGCCGCCACCGCGAGCUGGAGCACCAGCAGCAGCCUCCGGAACAAGGUCGACGACGGCACGCAGGAGGCCAUGGCGGUUGAUGGAUAUUACUGCGACGAUCACGUCGAGCCUGCCAGGGAAUGAAACACCAACUAAAACAACGCAAUGUAUUUAUAGGCCAGCAAUGGAAGAAGAAUGUUCCUUCGUCCGCGGUGGCUGCCGUUGACCUUGCUGGAUAUGCGCGCAGUUCAUGGUCGGCAUGACAUGACCACUACCGGCACCGUCGACGACGUGCAUGCCAUGU
RNAcentral lists this unclassified non-coding RNA (1384 nucleotides) under Zea mays. RNAcentral's name for it is "misc RNA Zm00001eb298240". Lineage: Eukaryota; Viridiplantae; Streptophyta; Magnoliopsida; Poales; Poaceae. The record is from RNAcentral.